UCAAAAAGAGACGGCAACAAAUGAAGAUCAGUCCGGUUGUACGAUGGUGAGAAUAAGACUGAAACUCUUUUAGAUAUACCUGGUAAUGACAUGCGAGGAUCAGUGUUUAAUUUUUCACCGGGAAUUUUUUCUCAAACAAUUCACACCAGUGUUAAAGUCCCUGUUUCCUAAAUCAUCCCAAACAACAAUACACCACUAGAUACAGUGUGAAUUUAUCUGCUAGAUUAUAUCUGAUCAACCCAGAACAAGAUCAUAUCAGUCUGAUACUCUGUGUUUUCCCUCCAAAAACAGUUACAAUAAUAGUGUUAUUAAGAAAAGAAAUGCAGGGUAUAUUUCAGUUUGAACUUUAAUUCAUGGUUGCAGUACAGGUUCCUCUGCACAUCUGUGGUUGGAAAGCGUCGGCAGGGUUACUGCAGCAGUGAAGCCAGACUCAGACCUGCUGCUGGAGGCGGACGAACCCACGUGACACAGGUACAGGAAAUGAUUGUGACGGCACAGUGGAUUUUUAGAGGACAACCAUUGAAGACUUUGGAGAAGCAGGCUCCCAUCUACAGAAGCAGCACAGCAAGUGAAUCACUAAAGUGUGCUCCACUCAGGAGACAGAGGCGUCUCUCUCUUCGGGGAGGAAACAGUGGCGACCUUCCUCUUCUCUGCCGUUACAGCUUCCCCCCCAGGCAGACAUGGAUCGCUGCAGCGCUGUCUGAUGUCCUGCGUGGCCGAG
Molecule: long non-coding RNA, 721 nt
Organism: Seriola aureovittata
Lineage: Eukaryota; Metazoa; Chordata; Actinopteri; Carangiformes; Carangidae
Exons: 3
Source: RefSeq, a predicted model, not a curated record